CAAUCGGACACGGAAAUUUUCCGCUACCACUUAUGAACAGUUCGAGAAUACGUAAUGCAAAAGCAUCUACGUACAUAAGGCGGUGGUGUUAACGAGGGACAGAGAAUCAUCGCUAUAAAAGUGGCGAUGAAGAUGUCUAAAGUCUCUGUCACUUUAAAAUGUCGCGCGCCGUUGCAUGUGGAUUUUUUUGGCCGUCUCAGAUUGUGCUCUUAGUACUUGUAUUAAUAUCAUCAUUAUCAUUAAUGACGUUGCGACGAGUGAAUGCAAAUCCGUUGCCGGAUCUCACGCAGGAGUACCAGAAUUUGAUAGCCGAGAGUUCGACGGUCAAUUCGACGGAUAAUUCAACAGAUAAUUCGACGGAAACUGCGGCCAACACUGACGUAUAUGUGAUAAAAGCCGUAGUCUACGAGAUUGGAAUUCUUACAGAUACGGAUAACACAACGACUAGCGAAAGCACCGAAAGACACGAAAGAGUCGAUAUAUCACUGUACGAUCCACCGCAUCAAAAAGAUGAAUUCUCCUAAUCGUAAUGAAUAUUUUUAUCUCGAAGCGAAUAUAGUAGUUACAAAAUUACGCACUUGAGACGCAUUUAUGGAGAUCGGAAGCGAGAAUCAAAAUGACAAAUCACUUUACUGUAAAAAUUGCGUAUAUGGAACGACGAUAUUUUCAGUAGAUGUAUGUACAUAGUAAAUUACUGAUUAUGUAUUGUAUAAGAUUGCAACGUAAAGAUAUAUAAAAUGCAAAGUGUAACAAUAUAAUGUGCAUGCAAUUUAUAAAGACUUCGAUCUUUCAAAUUUAUAUAAUGCUGUGAGACGAGCGCUUUGGGAUUUAGAAUAAACGUUUUAUUAUUUUAUCAUU
Formica exsecta is the source of this 858-nucleotide RNA transcript. RefSeq lists it as uncharacterized. The transcript is spliced from 4 exons. The record is from RefSeq and is a predicted model, not a curated record. NCBI's taxonomy places the organism in Eukaryota, Metazoa, Arthropoda, Insecta, Hymenoptera, Formicidae.